RNAcentral lists this long non-coding RNA (705 nucleotides) under Mustela putorius furo (domestic ferret). RNAcentral describes it as "lncRNA (ENSMPUG00000029167.1)". Lineage: Eukaryota; Metazoa; Chordata; Mammalia; Carnivora; Mustelidae. The record is from RNAcentral.
CUUCCCUGUUUUUCUCUCCUCUCCAGAGAAUUCUCAAUUCAUUCUCCUUAACAUGGAGAGGAACUCUACCCAGAAUCCUCAGCUUCACCAUCAACCAUGCCUCAAGGCUCUAGCUCCUUUCCUGCCAACUCAAGCCCACAUUGAUGUCUUCCUCUAAUGACAAUGUUUGCCUUUGUUGGCAGUACCAUACGAUUAGCACAUAUUUUAAAAAUAUCCUAUUAUCUAAUUAUCUAAAAUACAUAAUUUAACACGUUCUUCCGAUCAUGCCUUUCUCCCCAGGCUUUAAAGGGUAUAUCAGACACUUCUUGGACUUCAUCUCACAUCCUCUCAGCCCACCUUCUAUUCCAACUUCUACUGCAACAACAAGCUGUGCUCAGGAAUGACCCGACAGGGAUCUUGUCACAGGCAUUUGAAAAACACUAUCACCUGUAUUAGUUGUUACCACGGUACCAAACAAUUAUCACGGAACACAACUGCAUUUGCUGGCUACUCUUUCCUGCCUGUCUGCUCAGCUUUGCAAGAAUCUUUCAUGUAAAAUGCCUCUCAGUUCGUUAUUCUGUCAUCAAAAUGCUAUACCUGCUUCAAGGCCCUGUUCAAUCAUCUCCUUCAAGAAACCUCCUCCAAAUCUGUCUAUCCAAAUAAAUUAUGGAAUAAUUAUUAUUACUCCAAAUUCCUUACAAUGAUCAUAAUAAUGAUACUUUAAAG